Molecule: ribosomal RNA, 305 nt
Filed under: uncultured bacterium
Lineage: Bacteria
Description: bacterial SSU rRNA
Rfam family: Bacterial small subunit ribosomal RNA
Source: RNAcentral
ACCUACGGGGCGCAGCAGUGGGGAAUAUUGGACAGUGGGGGGAACCCUGAUCCAGCGACGCCGCGUGAGUGAAGAAGUAUUUCGGUAUGUAAAGCUCUAUCAGCAGGGAAGAAAGAAAUGACGGUACCUGACUAAGAAGCCCCGGCUAACUACGUGCCAGCAGCCGCGGUAAUACGUAGGGGGCAAGCGUUAUCCGGAUUUACUGGGUGUAAAGGGAGCGUAGACGGCGAUGCAAGUCUGAAGUGAAAGGCAGGGGCCCAACCCCCGGACUGCUUUGGAAACUGUAUGGCUGGAGUGCAGGAGAG